RNAcentral lists this long non-coding RNA (347 nucleotides) under Volvox carteri. RNAcentral describes it as "long non-coding RNA (VCAR_LNC003582)". The record is from RNAcentral. Lineage: Eukaryota; Viridiplantae; Chlorophyta; Chlorophyceae; Chlamydomonadales; Volvocaceae.
CGAUUGAUAGGUCGGAAGGUUUUAUCCUUUAUAAAGGCUGUAGGUGUUCGUAGUUUUGCGGAAGCUUUGUGCUUCUUGUUCGGCAUUAUGCACCACACCGUGGUGUCGUUCAAAGGUGCUGCAAGGCCUUCAUGUUGAUACUCGAUAGUCUAUUAAAUGUCUGGCAAUACUCGUGUUUGUAUUUUAUGCACGGAAUGGCAAAUGUCGUACUUCAAUCCGUGUCUUAAUCCAGACGUAUGAAACACUCCGACAGAUUAGCGGUGGAUUGGCGUGAAUUAAAAAUACCUUAAUCCGUGACUUUUAGGGGGUGUUUCCACUUGGAUUAAAAGUCACGGAUUAAGGUAUCC